RNAcentral lists this ribosomal RNA (279 nucleotides) under uncultured bacterium. RNAcentral's name for it is "partial 16S ribosomal RNA". It matches the Rfam family "Bacterial small subunit ribosomal RNA", at positions 506 to 784 of the family's 1533-position model. The record is from RNAcentral.
UGCCAGCAGCCGCGGUAAGACGGAGGGUGCUAACGUUGUUCGGAAUUACUGGGCAUAAAGAGCACGUAGGCGGCUGCCUAAGUCAGAUGUGAAAUCCCUCGGCUCAACCGGGGAACUGCACCUGAAACUGGGCAGCUCGAGGAUGAUAGGGGUGAGUGGAACUCCAGGUGGAGCGGUGAAAUGCGUAGAUAUCUGGAGGAACACCGGUGGCGAAAGCGGCUCACUGGGUCAUUUCUGACGCUGAGGUGCGAAAGCCAGGGGAGCAAACGGGAUUAGAUA